AGAACGAACGCUGGCGGCAGGCUUAACACAUGCAAGUCGAGCGCCUCGCAAGAGGAGCGGCAGACGGGUGAGUAACGCGUGGGAAUCUACCUAGUUCUACGGAACAACACAGGGAAACUUGUGCUAAUACCGUAUACGCCCUACGGGGGAAAGAUUUAUCGGAAUUAGAUGAGCCCGCGUAAGAUUAGCUAGUUGGUGGGUAAUGGCCUACAAGGCGACGAUCUUUAGCUGGUCUGAGAGGAUGAUCAGCCACACUGGGACUGAGACACGGCCCAGACUCCUACGGGG
This 288-nucleotide ribosomal RNA is filed under the name uncultured soil bacterium. RNAcentral's name for it is "partial 16S ribosomal RNA". It matches the Rfam family "Bacterial small subunit ribosomal RNA", at positions 26 to 346 of the family's 1533-position model. The record is from RNAcentral.